This 700-nucleotide long non-coding RNA is filed under the name Monodelphis domestica (gray short-tailed opossum). RNAcentral describes it as "lncRNA (ENSMODG00000039178.1)". Lineage: Eukaryota; Metazoa; Chordata; Mammalia; Didelphimorphia; Didelphidae. The record is from RNAcentral.
CUUUAAAAUUCUCUUGAAGACAGAUGAUAUCAUCACUAUAAGAAUUGGGUACCUAAAACUGUGCAAGGUACACUAAAGGACAGAUUGAGGGCAAUAUCACUGGACACUAGAAAUCUAUCAUGCAAAACCAAGGUCUAAUACAAAUUAUGGAGGAAAAUUACUGAGCACCAAAAUCUUCUUUAAAAAUCUUUCCUCAUUUAUGCAUUUUCCCCAGUGCUUCUUCUUCAUUGGUAUUAUUAAUCUGAAUGAGGAGUGAAAGGGCAGAAUAUCCUACAAUCAAAAUGUGGAAAGGAUUGUUCAGUACUUUGAUGAGGAAACUGAGACUUCAAGAAGGGUUUGAUAAUAAUCUUGUUCAUCAGGGUGACUGUUGUAUUUCUGAACAGAAUGCAGGCAAUGAUCCAAAGAUACAAUAAGGAAUCCAAAGGUAUGAAGAAGUAAUUCAUUUGAGGAAAUUAAAGAGUAGAAGAAUGUGAUUGGAGCUAUAUUAUAAAUGUUAGAUAUUUUUCAUAGAUGAUGGACCUUGAACCUCUAAAGAUGAAGCAGCUUCCUGUGUCUCCAAAGAAUGAUGAAAAGAAUGCAUUAUUGUCUAGCCUCAUUCAUUAACAGUCAAAGGAGAAAGGGACAAGAGGUGCUGAUUGAUUACUUUUUGCUCAGUAUUAAAACAGCCAUUUAAAAAAAUAACUUAUUCAACCAAGAUAUG